This 1492-nucleotide long non-coding RNA is filed under the name Parus major (Great Tit). RNAcentral's name for it is "lncRNA (ENSPMJG00000004686.1)". Lineage: Eukaryota; Metazoa; Chordata; Aves; Passeriformes; Paridae. The record is from RNAcentral.
GGAGCCCCCGGCGCGCUCGGGCCCGGCGGGCAGAGCUCCGCACCCGCGGAGCCCCGGCGGGGCGGGCAGAGGCGCAGCCCCGGGACCCCCGACCCGCUCCCGAGUUCCAAAAUGACCUUUCCCUGCAUCGUUUUGGAGCAGAAAUAAAAGAAGGCUUGCAGCUACCAGAAAGUCAUUAAGGCAUUAGUUUCUCUGAGAAGACAGAUCUGAAGAAAAUUCAAGAAAAUGAGAAAAUAGAUCUAAAUAAGGUGGAGUUGAAUACAGUGGUUAACUACAAGCAAUAUGUUCUGAAGAUGGUGGUGUUCAGACAAAUACCCAAUUUGAUUCUGAUAAAUUGGAUGCAAGACUUUGACCAGCAUGAGAAGAACAGGCAUUGUGGAAGCAGGCAGCAUCCCACACCUGUGGAGGAGCUCAGCAGGAGAACAAAUGGGGGAAAAUAUUCCCAAUGUCUGUUGCUGCUGGUGGCUCAGGGAGUUUGAGCAGAGGUCUGUGGUGGUCCAGCUCGUUGGAAACUUUUGUGCUCAAACCAGGAGGAUGCUCCAGCUGGAGCUAAUUCCUGAUUCAGGAAAGUCACUCAUCAUGCCAGUGUGCAAAUUCCCAGGGUUUCCCUCCAACAUCUCCUUCAUCUCAAUUCAAGGUUUUCUGGGCGCUGAACACUUUGAUUUCAGGUAAAAACCUCAGUUCCAGGGGCAGUGCCAGGAUUUGUCAGACCCUACAGGUUUCCAGUUCGGGUUGUUAACACCAACAAUUCCCAACCCUAUUCCCUUGACUCCAAACUGUAUUCGGGAGGCGUUUGGUGCUCCUGCAUUCAAACAGUUAAUUUUCACUAUGUUCUGUUAAAGAAAAGGAAAACUGUCACCCUGUCAUUUUAGAGUCUGACACUAAGCUUGUCAAAAGAGACAGCUGUUAAACUGAAUUACUGUUGACACGCAGAGAAACGGCCCUUGCCAGAUGUAAAGGACAUCUGCGGCAAUGAAGUGGUACAGGGUGGCUUUUAAAAUGUGGUCAUACUGGUAUUUGAAUAGAGCUCUAUGGCAUUAAAACGUGGCCUUGACUCAGACAGUUUAAGGCAACGAAGCAGAGCCAAUGCCAAGCACAAAGAAGUGCUGAUCUGUUGCUGUAUCCAUAACUUAGGCAUGAAUAUGAAAACAGUGCAGUGUCAAAGCUAUUAAGCUCUUAUCAUGUAUCCAGGAGGAUGUGGGUUUAAAACACAGUAGGAAAUAUUUUGUAUUUCUGGCUCCUUGGCUGUGCGGGUAGGUGAAGUGGAAAUUCAUAAGGUGGAUUAUGCAGGGAGUGAAUGGAAAUAAGUCGUCUUGUCUUCAGCUAACAACUGCUCAGACAAGAAUUGCAAAGGGCAUUAGGCUUAGGAAGUGGGGCUGGAUGUGCCUUGCCGGAGUUCCUGAUAACGCUCUCGGGAUGUGGAGCACGUGGUGGGUGCUGGGGAGGUUCCCCUCUGCAGAGGGGAACAAAUAAAAGCAAAAAUCACUGAACA